CUUGUGAAAGAGUUCUCAGAGAUGCAUUCUCUCAAUGUACUCCUAAUUCUGAUGAGGAUGCUGCUUGUCCUGCCUAUGAUCCUAACGUGGCCCAAAGAUCCCACUCUACUGGUGGUUCGUCCCAUUGGAAACCCCCUUGAUACCCCACUGCCAACACAAGUGCUUCAAGGGCACGUCAUGUGAGUGGGUUAGUACCGCAGAGCAGCUGAUCCUUUGUGAUGAGAGUGUGAUGCCAGCUAAAUCAGGUGAUCCAAACUACAUUUUAAUGGCUGGGCUGAGCAGGACAGCUGAGUCGGAUUUUAUUCACUCAGAAGUGGGACAGGACAGACCAAUCAGCGAGCACUUCAACUUCCUCAGGAAACAGGAGCAUGACCUUGAACAGGAAACAUCCUAUGGCCUUGAAUAGCCACCGAAGACUCAGACUCAGCCCGGGAAUCCGAGUGAUGUCAUGAUAAUUAGCCAGGGGACAGCCCUAAACACCUGGGUGCUCCACUCCAUGGAGUCCUGGCUUGCUCAGUUGUCAAUUGGGGCUUUGGAUAUAAAGUCGACUCCAUCUGCAUAUGUGAUGGGGUGAGGAAGAGGCCGCAGCCAACUUCCCAAGGCACCUGGAGGCUCUGAGGAACUAAUCUGCUCACACCAGUCCUUUCUAACUCUAAUUCCACAUUCACACUAGACUGUCUUGUAACUUGGUGAGCAGCUCAGUCUAUUCCAGGCCCCCCACCAAGUGGUAAAUACUGGAUUACCUCUAGACAGACACACGAAAAGAACACACAAUUCCUGGAAUCAAGAAAGUGAGACUGGAAUGGACUCAAUUUCCUUUCUUUCUUUUAUAACUAAACAUUUUAGUUAGCAUACAAAACAAUGGGUUUCGUUAUGAUAUUUUCAUAUGAAAGUAAUUGUAUAAUUCAUACUCAUCCCCCAACCCAGUUCUCAAUAAGUAUGUUACAUACUAUUUGUCAACUACUGAAUAGGUCCUGAGCCACAUAACUUUAAGGCCUUUCCUAAUUAUCAAUCUGACCCUGGGUAAAUUUACCUCACCAUCUCAAAUAUUACAUACAAUUUAAACAUUGUAGGUUGCUGUCAUAUUUAAUGCCAAUUCCAAUUUCUCUUAAAGUCAAAUCUCUAUUUCCACUGCCAACAUAUAAAUUAAGCACUCUACCACUGAGCUAAAUCCCCAACCCAUCCUUAGCUCUUCUUUUUAAAGAAUUAUUAUUUUUGUAAUUGUGUAUCUAUGUAUGCUUCCGUGUGCAUUUGUACACAUGAGUGCAGGUGUCCACAGAGGCCGAAGGCCUCAGAUUCCCCAGGAGCUGGAGUUACAAAUGGUUAUGAGCCUCCUGACAUGGGUACUAGAGGUAGAACUUGUGUCUUUUGCAAAAGCAGUAUGCAUUCCUAACCACCGAGCCACCUCUCCAGCCCUAUCCUUGGCUGUUCUUAAAAUUCCAAAUACUUAAAACCAAAUAUUUGGGGGCCAGCAAGAUGGCUCAGGAGGUAAAGGCACUUAUCACCAGGCCUGACAAACUGAGUUCAAUCCCUGGAACCCAUAUGGAAGGAGGAGAGAACAAAGUAUUUUGGGUUGUCCUUUGACCUCCACACCCCUGCUGUGACACAUCUGUGCUCUCCCACACCACACAUUAAGUAAAAUCAAUCAAACAAAAACCAAAUCCCGUGCCUUCUUCCUCUCCUACCAGCUCUACCCACAAUCUCAUCUGAAACGAUGAAAACUUGCUCACCUUCUUCCAUAACGAGGGUGUUCAACACCAACAUGGUUCUUUGAGCUAAGAACUCCAAACUCCACUGCUCAUAUCCCUUUCUGUACUUCUGUUCCAUCCAGUUAGUCGCCAGUGCCCGCCUGCUGGUGCACACACCAGACUCUUGAAUUUAUCCCCACUGCUGAUGGAUGGCCAUCUUAUCUUCUCAAGUCUGGACCUCUGUAUCGUUUCCAUC
Molecule: long non-coding RNA, 1944 nt
Organism: Peromyscus eremicus (cactus mouse)
Lineage: Eukaryota; Metazoa; Chordata; Mammalia; Rodentia; Cricetidae
Exons: 4
Source: RefSeq, a predicted model, not a curated record